GACGGACCGUGCGAACGUUGUUCGGAUUCACUGGGCUUAAAGGGCGCGUAGGCGGUACGCCAAGUUUGGGGUGAAAUCUUUCGGCUCAACCCGAAAAUUGCCUGGGAUACUGGUGUGCUCGAGGGAGGUAGGGGCAGCGGGAACUGCCAGUGGAGCGGUGAAAUGCGUUGAUAUUGGGAGGAACGCCGGUGGCGAAAGCGCGCUGCUGGACCUCUUCUGACGCUGAGGCGCGAAAGCUAGGGGAGCAAACGGG
This 253-nucleotide ribosomal RNA is filed under the name uncultured bacterium. Its description in RNAcentral is "partial 16S ribosomal RNA". It matches the Rfam family "Bacterial small subunit ribosomal RNA", at positions 524 to 776 of the family's 1533-position model. The record is from RNAcentral.